RNAcentral lists this long non-coding RNA (1076 nucleotides) under Agrilus planipennis (emerald ash borer). Its description in RNAcentral is "uncharacterized LOC112904381, transcript variant X3". The record is from RNAcentral. Lineage: Eukaryota; Metazoa; Arthropoda; Insecta; Coleoptera; Buprestidae.
UUUUUGUCCGUUUACACAGAUUGACCAACAAUGGAGAGAGGUUGGAACUUAUAUCCUUUGCUUAAUGAAAUUAUAAGUCGUCUCCUAUGGUGAUUUAGCUGUUAACCUUUCAUCUUGAAGGUUCUUGUAGUUAAUUAAGGAACAUUAGAAGAACUCCGGAUACCAUUAAAUUAUGAAAUUAUCGAGCAUUGGUUGUAUUAGUCCUCAUUUGCCCCGGAAAGUAGCUGUGCCCAUGAUUCUAAAGAAAGCAUGAAAGUGCCUUUUUUCCGUUGGGAACGAAACUGUUAAAUUUUCAUCCUGGAUGCUCUUGUAGUUAAUUAAGGGAUGUGAGAAGAACUCCAGAUGCCAUUAAAUUGUGGAGCAUUGAUUGUGUCGGUUCUCAUUGACUCCAAAAAGUGACUGUUCCUAUAGUCAUAAAGAAAACAUGAAAGUGCCUUUCCAUUGGGAACGGAGACAAUGUGCUGAAGUGUGCUGCUGAAGGAGGGAUUUAUGACAAUAAACUGAUUGUCCCACAAAUGACGAGAGAUUGCAGUUAAUUUUGAUGUUACUGAAGCAACCGAUUUUUUGAUGUCUUCACUUUGCAACAUUAUGCAGUUAACUUUUACCGUAACGACAGGAGGCAGUUGGAAAUUAAUUAAUUUGGAAGAGACUGGAACAACAGAUUGUUUGCAGUGAUCCCUCCUAGAUUUGGUUUGCUCAUCACACUGAUAGACUUUAGAACGCCACUUUCUACAAUUAAUUAAGGUGAGAAUACAUGACUGAUCAAUAUUAAUUACUCUUUAUAAAUCUGUUAUGAAGUUUUUGUUAACAAUUAGCUAUUGUCAACAGUAUAAAUUGAGUUUAUUGUGUAUCAGCAUCACUUGACAGUUUUAUUUUCCACAGAAUAAAUUGAUAUUUAUCAUUGAUGAAUCUAUGGAGUUUAUCUAUCUAUGAAUUUUCUUUUUAACCUUUUUCUGUUGUCUAUGUCGUAAAUUGAUGUCGUGUUAUUUGACGUUAAUCUAUGUCGUGAUCUAUGGUUGUGAUGUAAAAUGGCGUAAAAUUGUUGUUUGUUUAUUUUAUAAUUCAGAUAUUUUACU